AAACUGGGUGCUUUUUACACAGGAAGUUCAAACAUUUGCCCAUGAUUUCAGUCAAAAACCACUGGCCAGCGUGUUGAAUACGAAAACAGUUAUAAGUACCUUGGUUAUGGUACUGCAGUGUGCAGAUGGGAUAAAAGCGAGAACAUGUUCCCUACAUUAGGAGGUCGCUCAUCGCUCCUCGGACCUCAGACCCUGCACAUCAAAGGAAUAGAACAAAAUGCGGACCUGUAGUCCAUUAUAUAAGUCUUAAAGUAAAUUAGCAGAAAAGUGUGCAUUUUAAUUGCAAUUGUCUAAGCAACGUGACGCGUUGUUCUAAAGAAUCGGCAAUAGCAAUUAAAGCGACUGAUUUGCGCCUUCUAAAUGAUAAUGUUAUUUUAAGUAAUGUAAUGAAGAAACACGGAAAAUAUAACAAGUGACCGAGAAAA
This is a long non-coding RNA of Dendroctonus ponderosae (mountain pine beetle), 425 nucleotides long. RefSeq lists it as uncharacterized. The transcript is spliced from 2 exons. The record is from RefSeq and is a predicted model, not a curated record. NCBI's taxonomy places the organism in Eukaryota, Metazoa, Arthropoda, Insecta, Coleoptera, Curculionidae.